AUUAGGAAUCUUGCGCAAUGGACGAAAGUCUGACGCAGCGACGUCGCGUGGAGGAUGAAAUCUUUCGGGAUGUAAACUCCUUUUAUCGGGGAAGAAGAAUGUGACGGUACCCGAUGAAUAAGCCCCGGCUAACUACGUGCCAGCAGCCGCGGUAAUACGUAGGGGGCCAGCGUUGUCCGAAGUUACUGGGCGUAAAGCGCGUGUAGGUGGGUUUUUAAGUGAGGGGUGAAAGGUUCGGGCUUAACCUGGACACUGCCUUUCAUACUGGGAGCCUUGAGUGCGGGAGAGGCGAGUGGAAUUCUUGGUGUAGCGGUGAAAUGCGUAGAUAUCAAGAGGAACACCCAUGGCGAAGGCAGCUCGCUGGCCUGCAACUGACACUGAGACGCGAAAGCGUGGGGAGCAAACAGG
This 408-nucleotide ribosomal RNA is filed under the name uncultured Armatimonadales bacterium. RNAcentral describes it as "bacterial SSU rRNA". It matches the Rfam family "Bacterial small subunit ribosomal RNA", at positions 354 to 776 of the family's 1533-position model. Lineage: Bacteria; Bacillati; Armatimonadota; Armatimonadia; Armatimonadales. The record is from RNAcentral.